Molecule: transfer RNA, 76 nt
Filed under: Pseudactinotalea sp. HY160
Lineage: Bacteria; Bacillati; Actinomycetota; Actinomycetes; Micrococcales; Cellulomonadaceae
Also listed under: 1 other name
Description: tRNA-His
Rfam family: tRNA
About the family: Transfer RNA (tRNA) molecules are approximately 80 nucleotides in length. Their secondary structure includes four short double-helical elements and three loops (D, anti-codon, and T loops).
Source: RNAcentral
GUGGGCGUAGCUCAGCAGGUAGAGCGCCGCGUUGUGGUCGCGGAUGUCGCGGGUUCAAGUCCCGUCGUCCACCCCA